RNAcentral lists this ribosomal RNA (350 nucleotides) under uncultured eukaryote. RNAcentral describes it as "partial 18S ribosomal RNA". It matches the Rfam family "Eukaryotic small subunit ribosomal RNA", at positions 592 to 976 of the family's 1831-position model. The record is from RNAcentral.
CAAUAGCGUAUAUUAAAGUUGUUGCAGUUAAAACGCUCGUAGUUGAACAUCUGCCCUUUUCCGGUUAGGUCCGCUCUGCGUGCACCUUCCGAAAUCGGCAUCCGUCUGCGUUGCUUCGCAUUGCAGACCGUUCACUUUGAGGAAAUUAGAGUGUUCAAAGCAGGCUUACGCCUUGAAUACUUCAGCAUGGAAUGAUUGAUAGGACUUCUAUCCUAUCUUGGUUCUAGGGACAGAAGUAAUGGUAAACAGGGUUGGUUGGGGGCAUUCGUACUGAACAGUCAGAGGUGAAACUCUUAGAUUUGUUCAAGACGAACAACUGCGAAAGCAUUUGCCAAGGACGACCCCAUUAA